UUUCCGUAGGUGAACCUGCGGAAGGAUCAUUAACGAGUUAGGGUCUUCCAGGCACGACCUCCCAACCCUAUGUUUAUUGAACCUCUGUUGCUUCGGCGGACCCGCCUCACGGCCGCCGGAGGACCGCUGCAAGGCGUCCUCUGGCCAGCGUCCGCCGAUGGCCAACCACUUAAACUCUGAAUGAAUCGUGUCAUAUGUCUAAGUCUAUGAUUAAAUUAAAGCAAAACUUUCAACAACGGAUCUCUUGGUUCUG
RNAcentral lists this unclassified non-coding RNA (253 nucleotides) under plant metagenome. Its description in RNAcentral is "partial contains small subunit ribosomal RNA, internal transcribed spacer 1, and 5.8S ribosomal RNA". The record is from RNAcentral.